This 497-nucleotide ribosomal RNA is filed under the name uncultured bacterium. RNAcentral's name for it is "partial 16S ribosomal RNA". It matches the Rfam family "Bacterial small subunit ribosomal RNA", at positions 28 to 507 of the family's 1533-position model. The record is from RNAcentral.
GAUGAACGCUGGCGGCGUGCUUAACACAUGCAAGUCGAACGGACAGACGAGGAGCUUGCUGCUCGGACGUUAGCGGCGGGCGGGUGAGUAACACGUGGAUAACCUACCUGUAAGACUGAGAUAACUUCGGGAAACCGGAGCUAAUACCGUAUGAUAUAUUGAAGCGCAUGGUUCGAUAGUGAAAGACGGUUGUGGUGGAUCUUAUAGAUGGAUCCGCGCCGGAUUAGGUAGUUGGUAAGGUAACGGCUUACCAAGGCAACGAUGCGUAGCCGACCUGAGAGGGGGAUCGGCCACACUGGAACUGAGACACGGUCCAGACUCCUACGGGAGGCAGCAGUAGGGAAUCUUCGGCAAUGGGCGAAAGCCUGACGGAGCAACGCCGCGUGAGUGAUGAAGGUCUUCGGAUCGUAAAACUCUGUUAUUAGGGAAGAACAAAUUUGUAAUUAAAUAAGCAGGUCUUGACGGUACUUAAUCAAAAAGCACCGGCUAACUACGUG